This 694-nucleotide ribosomal RNA is filed under the name uncultured bacterium. Its description in RNAcentral is "bacterial SSU rRNA". It matches the Rfam family "Bacterial small subunit ribosomal RNA", at positions 32 to 715 of the family's 1533-position model. The record is from RNAcentral.
AACGCUAGCUACAGGCUUAACACAUGCAAGUCGAGGGGCAGCAUGGUCUUAGCUUGCUAAGGCCGAUGGCGACCGGCGCACGGGUGAGUAACACGUAUCCAACCUGCCGUCUACUCUUGGACAGCCUUCUGAAAGGAAGAUUAAUACAAGAUGGCAUCAUGAGUCCGCAUGUUCACAUGAUUAAAGGUAUUCCGGUAGACGAUGGGGAUGCGUUCCAUUAGAUAGUAGGCGGGGUAACGGCCCACCUAGUCUUCGAUGGAUAGGGGUUCUGAGAGGAAGGUCCCCCACAUUGGAACUGAGACACGGUCCAAACUCCUACGGGAGGCAGCAGUGAGGAAUAUUGGUCAAUGGGCGAGAGCCUGAACCAGCCAAGUAGCGUGAAGGAUGACUGCCCUAUGGGUUGUAAACUUCUUUUAUAAAGGAAUAAAGUCGGGUAUGGAUACCCGUUUGCAUGUACUUUAUGAAUAAGGAUCGGCUAACUCCGUGCCAGCAGCCGCGGUAAUACGGAGGAUCCGAGCGUUAUCCGGAUUUAUUGGGUUUAAAGGGAGCGUAGAUGGAUGUUUAAGUCAGUCGUGAAAGUUUGCGGCUCAACCGUAAAAUUGCAGUUGAUACUGGAUAUCUUGAGUGCAGUUGAGGCAGGCGGAAUUCGUGGUGUAGCGGUGAAAUGCUUAGAUAUCACGAAGAACUCCGAUUG